GACGAACCGUCCAACCGUUGUUCGGAAUCACUGGGCUUAAAGGGCGCGUAGGCGGGCUAUCAAGUCCGGGGUGAAAUCCUCCAGCUUAACUGGAGAACGGCCUCGGAUACUGAUGGUCUCGAGGGGGGUAGGGGCACGCGGAACUGUGGGUGGAGCGGUGAAAUGCGUUGAUAUCCAUAGGAACUCCGGUGGCGAAGGCGGCGUGCUGGACCUCUUCUGACGCUGAGGCGCGAAAGCCAGGGGAGCAAACGGG
RNAcentral lists this ribosomal RNA (253 nucleotides) under uncultured bacterium. Its description in RNAcentral is "partial 16S ribosomal RNA". It matches the Rfam family "Bacterial small subunit ribosomal RNA", at positions 524 to 776 of the family's 1533-position model. The record is from RNAcentral.